RNAcentral lists this transfer RNA (74 nucleotides) under bacterium JGI 053. It matches the Rfam family "tRNA". Rfam says of the family: Transfer RNA (tRNA) molecules are approximately 80 nucleotides in length. Their secondary structure includes four short double-helical elements and three loops (D, anti-codon, and T loops). The record is from Rfam by way of RNAcentral. RNAcentral also lists the same sequence under 2 other names.
AGACGCGUAGCUCAGGGGUGAGAGCGCUCGGCUGAUACCCGAGAGGUCCGGAGGUUCGAAUCCUCCCGCGUCUA